Molecule: long non-coding RNA, 256 nt
Organism: Oncorhynchus nerka (sockeye salmon)
Lineage: Eukaryota; Metazoa; Chordata; Actinopteri; Salmoniformes; Salmonidae
Exons: 2
Source: RefSeq, a predicted model, not a curated record
CCCCCCCCUUUUGAGGAUUCCCACAUGGAUACAGAUCUGCCAUGUAUUUCACCGCCACUGCCUCACCCAGAAGUACAUACACUGGGCCUAUCAGGACUGACAAAGCAGAGAUGGGGGACUGGCAAGGGAAAAUAAAACAUGCACUCACACACAUUAUCCACAAUGUAAAUCAGUUGUAAUAACUUGUUUAUUUUAUGUAUGCUCCAUUUUAUUUGGGAAAAAUAUCUGCAAUAAAGUACCUUCACAGUUAAAGCAA